Molecule: non-coding RNA, 25237 nt
Organism: Podarcis lilfordi (Lilford's wall lizard)
Lineage: Eukaryota; Metazoa; Chordata; Lepidosauria; Squamata; Lacertidae
Source: the annotation of a GenBank genome assembly
UCCACAGGCAGCUUUCCGGGUCAUGUGGCCAGCAUGACUAAACUGCUUCUGGCGCAACGGGACACUGUGAUGUGUGCCAGAGAGCACGGAAAUGCCGUUUAAAGGUUGAGGGCACCGGGAAUAUAUUUAGCUUGGGGGAAGACUGAGUAUGUGAUAGGAUUCUUUAAAUACUGAGAUAUAAAGGUGAGCAUACUGUAGCUCUUGGCUGACCCAGAAGCCUGGAGUAUAUCUUCAGUUACAGGACAGCUGAUUUCAUGACAACAUUAGGAGACAUUUCUUAAGAAUAAGAGAUCAGACAGUGGAACCAACUACCUAGAAGACUGAUGGAGCUCUCUCUCAUUGGAGGUUCUGCCAGCCGAGGCUUGGGCAGCCAUUUCUGGGGGAUGCUGUAGCUCAGGAUUUCCUCCAUGAAGCAGCAAGUUGGACUAGAUGUCAUUCAUGGUCCCCUCCAGGUCUGUGAAUCUAACUCCAAAGUACCAAACUCUCUCGCAUCCUUUGACAUCUUAUUAAAAAAAUAGCCUCCUCUCCUUUCUGUUUGAAGUCCAACCCUGUAACAUCCCUAAUUGUUUCUGAAAGGCAGCAGCCUGAUUUCUUCUGGAGGAUCAUUCCACGGGUUAGGAGCCAUUACCGAAAAGACCCUGCUCUGCACCUCCAUGGUACAGUCAACAGAACCUCCCCAUCAGAUUGCAAUAAUCUGGGUGAUUUGGUAUGGGAGAUGGUAGUCUCUCAGAUGGUGUGCUUCUCAGCUGGUUAGGGCCUUAUAAGUCAAGAUCAACAUAGGGACAUUAUACAGAGUCAGAUCAUUGGUCUAUAAAAGGACCCCUGACCAUUGGGUCUAGUUGUGACCGACUCUGGGGUUGCGGCACUCAUCUCGCUUUAUUAGCCAAGGGAGCCGGCGUACAGCUUCUGGGUCAUGAGGCCAACAUGACUUAGCCACUUCUGGCGAACCAGAGAAGCACACGGAAAUGCUGUUUAUCUUCCCACCAGAGCGGUACCUAUUUAUCUACUUGCACUUUGACAUGCUUUCGAACUGCUAGGUUGGCAGGAGCAGGGACCGAGCAACGGGAGCUCAUCCUGACGUGGGGAUUCGAACCGCCGACCUUCUGAUCAGCAAGUCCUAGGCUCUGUGGUUUAACCCACAGAGCCACCUGCCUCCCAUUGGUCUAUCUAGCUCAGUAAGUAAGUAAGUAAGUAAGUAAGUAAGUAAGUAAGUAAGUAAAUAAAUAAAUAAAACAACAACAACAAUAAUACACUGGCUGGCAGCAGCUCUCCAGGGUUUUAGGCAGGGGUCUCUUCCAUUCCUACCUUGAUAUGCUCUGGCACUGAGCCAAGGCCCCAUCCCCAGGACCUCCCUGCGGUUCCCUGCCUUCCAACAUCUGCCACCCGAGGCAGCUGCCUCACCCAGCCUAACAGUAGCUCUGUCGCCGUCAUCAAAUGAUCCCAAGUUUGGAGUGUUAAAAGAAAGAGUGAAAACAUCAGCCUGUCCUCUCUGUCUUCUUUCUCCAUGCCACAAACUGUUUUAUAAACCUCAGUCACAUCCCUCUCCACCCCACUUAGUGGAUUUGUGUUUUCAAACUUAGAAGCUGCAGAUGUGUUAGCCUUUCUCCUUCUUAUGUGCUGUUUGUGAGUUCCUGGAACAUGACACCCCACACCCCACCCCGCAACACACACGCACAGUUCCAUGUAUCUGUCCUCAGCAAUCACCGUGGAAUAUAAUCUGUGGCUUAUUUAACCCAGUAGCUUGCAGAGACUUUAACAGAUCACGCAGUCAUUGCACAGAAGCCGUCAGAAUGGAUGAGUUGUCAUGUCAGGGUGGAGCAUUCUCUCCCCUUCUCUGUCCCCCCCACCGCCGCUUCUGCCGUAGCCUGCUAGCUAUUAAAUUCUCCUGUAGAAAGGCUGCUGCAGGGUUGAUGUUUCCAUUUGCAGCGACAGAGAUCUGGAUCAGAUUUACUGUCCUGUCCAAUAAAACAGCAAUGGAAGCAUCAUUCCUGGUGCGGUAGAAGACAGACAGAGUUAUUCAAGUGCCGGGUACCCAGGGGGUGAAUGAGAAAGAGUUCUUAACAUUGAAGACGAAAGAUACGGAGGAAUUGAAGGCGGCCAGUUUCAAAGGAAGAAAAUGAGCUUUUCUUUAAAAAAUAAAUAAAAUAAAAUGCUAUUAUUAUUUGCAAAAACACAAUUGCGAGAGGGUCAAACAAAAGCAAGGUCCUGCACAUGCUUACUUGGAAAUAGUAUUGCGUUCCUGUUUGCCUAUGCAUAUUGCACCACUGAUUUAUACAGAGCCCUGCAGAGUUACACCCAGGUGACAUGGAUAAGGCUUCCCUACCUCCCUCAGGGUGCUUACAAUAUAAAACAGACAGUGGCGAGACAGAAGGAGAGAGAGAGAGAGAGAGAGAGAGAGAGAGAGAGAGAGAGAGAGAGAAGGUGGGUACAUGACCUCACAUGUAUCUAAAUCAAGAGUGGGGAGCAAUUUUCAACGCAAGGUCCACAUUCUCUCCUGUGCAACCUUCCAGGGGCCACCUGCCGAUGGUGGGUGGGACCAGUAGCAAAAGUGGACAAAACAAUAGGUGCCAUUUCCUCCCCCUUUUACAGGAGGCUACUUUUAAGGUGGGACGUGGGUGGCGCUGUGGGUUAAACCACAGAGCCUAGGACUUUCUGAUCAGGAGGUCGGCGGUUCGAAUCCCCGCGACGGGGUGAGCUCCCCUUGCUCGGUCCCUGCUCCUGUCAACCUAGCAGUUCGAAAGCACGUCAAGGUGCAAGUAGAUAAAUAGGUACCACUCUGGCGGGAAGGUAAAUGGCGCUUCCGUGUGCUGCUCUGGUUCGCCAGAAGUGGUUUAGUCAUACUGGCCACAUGACCCGGAAGCUGUACGCCGGCUCCCUCGGCCAAUAAAGCGAGAUGAGUGCCGCAACCCCAGAGUCGGUCACGACUGGACCUAAUGGUCAGGGGUCCCUUUACCUUUACCUUUACUUUUAAGGCACACUCGGAUACCCUUUCUCUGUUCUCCAUCCAGAAAAGCAAAAGGCAUCAUCAGUAUGCAAGUGCACGUUCCAGUCCAACCCACGUCCACCAUGAGGAGGGCAUGAAGCAGGGAUAGUCAGGGCUGUGGCCUGGGGAGAGGGAGUGCAGUUGGGAAGAGUCCUGAGGAUCAGGGGAUGCAACUUGAAGGCCCACCUUUGGCUCCUGACCUGAGGUUCACACCACUGACUUAAAGCUUGGUUACUGUUGGGACUGACGAUUUGAGGAAUAAGCCAAAGACCACGCAGGAGAGGUGGAUUCUGGAGACGAAUAUGAAGGAUGAGGGAGAGAUGAGAUCAGUGCUGGGUUCACAGAUGAAGUCAGCAAAUGCAGGUUCCUCCCCGUCCACCCCAUAAAUAAUUGGCGGAAUGGCCCAAGAGAGACUCCAUAGCAGCCAACUCCUAGGGCAGGCAUAGGCAAACUCUGGCCCUCCAGAUGGUUGGGACUACAAUUCCCAUCAUCCUUGACCACUGGUCCUGUUAGCUAGGGAUGAUGGGAAUUGUAGUCCCAAACAUCUGGCGGGCCAGAGUUUGCCUAUGCCUGUCCUAGGGGCUGAGGUCCCAAUAAAAUAUUUGAGCGGGUUGCCCGUUCCAAAGUUGAUGAACAUUGCCAUUCAAAUGGUGUGUGUGUACCAUAUCAUGUGAUCUAUUAUACCUGCCCCCCAUAUUUUAUUCAAGUUGACACCCCUGGGACUCUCUCCUAGCAGCUCAGCCACCCCAGAACCCUCCCCCUCCCAUCCCUGUCAGCAAGAGAAAAUCUGGCUACCCCUGGGUUACAGGCACCCAGAACUUGCCCACGGUUACUAAGGGGAAUGGAUUUAUUUCAUUGUUGAUUGGGGCAUUUAUAUGCCAACCAAUCGAACAUGCCCUCUGGGCAGUUUGCAGUUGUUUGUUUGUUUAAUAAUAAAUUGUUAGAUUUAUACAUUGCCCUUCAUCCAAAGAUCACAGGGCGGUUUACAAUAUAACCAAUAAUCAAUAAUAAUAAAAAACACACAUGUAACAGCUAAUAUCUCUACACAAACUGCAUCACUACAAAAUGAAUGUUGAACUGAAACCAUGCGCUCCAAGAAAAAAAAGCACUAAAACUCAAAAGUUUGUUUAAAAUUUAUGUGUGUGUGAAUGUACAGCUGAUGUUGUAAUGUGCACCUCUGCCCUGCACCACCCUCACUGCAACCAAGCAAGCAGUUCACAUAUUAUCCCCAUUUAAUGUAUGGUGAAUGAAGGCUGCGAGAUAGAGACACACAUCCAUUUCACUUUCAGACACCUCCCCCUUUUAAAAACACCUCUGCCGGGUUGGUGGUCCAUAAAAUACGGACUGGAAUUCCAGAUUGAGAUUGUGACCCUGCCGAGCAAAUGCCCAUCAGUGUGCUAAGGUAUCUUUGAUCACAGCAGGCUCCCUUUCACCUCCCUUCUCCUGCAGGUGAGGCAGAGGAGCCAUCAGCCAUUAAACAGUCACUGGAUAUGGGGGGAAAUAAUCUCUUGUGGAAUGCAGCUUGACCCCCUGCGACCCUUUGCUGCAAUUUCUCUUUGAGUGCAUUCCAGGUAGCAGGCAGAAGCAGAAGCAGGAAAAAUAGAAAGUGGAUUUUGGUGCUGAGAAAUCACAGCGGGAGUGGAGGAUUAACUCAGUCACUCCUGGAAGAAAUUUAAUCUGGAGUACUAGCGAGGGGUGUGUGUGUGAAAUCAGGCUUGGUGAAACAGCUCCAAUUGCUUCAUCCGCUCUUAAGUUGGGUGUAAAAUGCUUAGUCCAGCUUUGUUUGGCAAAGGGGUUAAAGGAGAGGCUCUUCUUGUCUGCCCAUAGGGGCUUCUUUGACAUCUGUCUGGCAAGCCAUGUGUCCAAGGACAUAUCAUGAACAGCUGAUGCAGUCUACACCUUGUUGCUAAGGUUGCCUUUUUUUUCUGGCUCUGCACCCCCGUUUUUAACAGCUGCCUGCCAUACAGAAAUUAACCAAGUGACCUUUUCCUCAUGGCCUCAUCGCUCUGUCAAGAAAAGUCCCCCCCCCUUAAAUUUCCGCCUGUCAGAGGAACAAUGGAAGAGGCCUUAUAUUACCCACACUGAACGACAGUAGCUUUCUGGGGUUUCAGAUAGGGGCUUUCCCUACCCUAAUCUCAUACCCUCCAACACCAUGAAAACAAAAGCUAGGACACCAUCUUCCCAGGUAUGUUCUUCGCUUUUUUUCUUGAAACAGAAUGGCAGCCAUUUUGGCCACUGUGAUCUGGUGCAAUUUUGGGCUGCGAUCUUGCCCUGAAAAAGCACUCCCCCCCCCCCCCGGGAGAAGUCAUGGUGCGAAACAAUGCGAGAUCCCAGUGGCCAAAAUGGCUGCCGUUCUCUAGCAAGGAAAAAAUGGGAUGUCCUGAUUUUUCCAGGACACUUGCGAUGUAUGCCACCUGGAGAAUCUGCGGGUUGAACUUGAGAGCUUCUGUGUGCAAAGCAGAUAACAACAACAACAACAACAACAACAACAAUAAAUAGUAAUAAUUUUAUUAUUUAUACCCCGCCCAUACAUCUGGCUGGAUUGCCCCAGCCACUGAGCUACAGUCUGGAUGCAGUUAAGCAGGCCAGUAGAAAGAGGGGGCUCUCCACUCAUGGUCAGUUCUCCUUUUCCAGGUUUUUCCUCACAUGAGUGUUAGUGCUGCUAUCCCUACCCAUAAUUCUCCUUAGAGCAGGGAAAUUUGUCUUUCACCCUUUUCAAUUUCAAGUUGAAAGACCUCUUAAGAUAACUCAAAACUUUGACCUUGCCUGGUCAACAGGGCAGGACACAGGUCCAGGUUCCAGCAAUGGCAGAGUUUAGAGACCCUGAAUUUAUGCUCCCUCGUGGUCUAGAUUUCGAUAUCCUUGGCUGGCUCUGAGAGCAAAGAGGACUUUUACUCUCUCCACCCCCCUCCUCUAGGAAAGAUGCCAAAAAAGCAGUUGGAGAAUCCCAGGAGCUGGAGAGGCACCCAGACCCAGUGCUUUUUUUCUGGGGAGGGACGCAGGUGUACGCAUACCCCUAAACAUCUUGUGAAUCUAACUUUGGCCUCAUUGAGGGGCAGUAUUUUAAUAGGAGUAGGAAAAUGAGAGUACCCUUAAACUUUUUUUUUUGAAGAAAAAAAAGCACUGCCCUAAGAGCAAACAAACAUUUCCUCUGCACGAGUGAUGCUUCAAUGUGGAAUGGGGAGAAAUGGGGAAGCACUGUCUAUUCUGCUGCGCAGGUAACACUUUCAAAGACAGAUGCUUGCCAAAAAUGUAUCGGUCAGAGACAAUUGGGAACUCCUCAUGUGCUAUUAAAAAAAAAUAAAAACCCACUAAUACGCUGGAACUAUCCAGUUAAACGCCAAUUACGAAACCCUGCAAGCUUCCCGGCUGCAGCAUAUUAAUAACACAAUUAAACAUGUAUCACUUAAUGCAAAUGGAAAAAAGAUAGAACUUAAUCGGAUGGCAGUGCAACCCCAGGAAGUGACCAUUUAGCAAACUAAUGUCUAUUUAAUUAUAGGCCCCUCCUCUGUAAUAAGCUAAAACACGCCAGUCUUUAUCAUUUCUUUUCUCAGAACUCAGUUGCAAUGCUAGUCUGAGGAAUUCCAUCUCGGCUUCCCUGCAUUGGCAGAGACUCAAGCCCUUGAACAGCUGUGGAGAUUAAAUUCCCCGAAUGGUCCUUGGCAUCUUCUCUUUUCUUUGCAUUGUCCAGCUGUAAACAGCUGGAUGGGACAUAUAUUCCCACCACCAGCUUCUUCUCCGGCGUUUAAUGUGGGUACAUCCCAAUAGAGAACUUUUGGAUCGUUGUGUUCUGCUAUAUCAUGGCUACUACAGAAUAAUCCUGCACUGAUAUAUGGUUUUCACCUUUUCCAAGUGGAUCCUGAGCCUAAGCACUCAUUUGGAAAUACAUAGUGAAGCCCCUAAAUUUAAAGCUCUGUGACGCCACUUUAAACAGUCCUGGCUUUGACCACAGAACUCUGGAAGCUGUAGUUUGUUAUGGGUGCUGAGAGUUGUUAGGAGACUUCCCCCUUCCCUUCGCAGAACUACAAUUCCCAGAGUUCCUGGGAAGGGGGAUUGAUUGCUAAACCACUCUGAGAAUUGUAGCCAGCCUCACUGCUGCCUUGCCUGUCUCCUUUCUAGUAAGGGUAAAGGUAAAGGACUCCUGGAAGGGUAAGUCCAAUCAAAGGCAACUGUGGGCUUGCAGCGCUCAUCUUGCUUUUCAGGCAGAGGGAGCCAGCAUUUGUCCACAGGCAGCUUUCUGGGCCAUGUGGCCAGCAUGACUAAACCGUUUCUGGUGCAAUGAGACACUGUGACAGAAACCAGAGUGCAUGGAAACGCUGUUUACCUUUCCGUCACAGUGGUACCUACUUAUCUACUUGCACUGGUGUGCUUUCAAACUGCCAGGUUGGCAGGAGUUGGGACAGAGCAAUGGGAGCUCACCCCGUCGUGCGGAUUCAAACCACCGACCUUCCAAUUGGCAAGCCAAGAGGCUCUGUGGUAUAGACCACUGCGCCACCCGCGUCCUUUCCAGUAAGACACAGCGACAUUGAUAAUGGGAGAUCAAGUCUCUACAUGACUGUAUUAUUGGGGGGGGGGGGGCUGAAUGCAUGAAAGCUUCUAAGCAUCUCCUCCCAGGUGUGCUUCAAAGCCCCCAUUCAGACCUUCGCAUUCAACAUGGGAAGAUUGGGGGUUGGAGUACACAGGGACAUCUGGGGGGUGAAACCAGCAUGCAGACCACCUCCUUGUGCCUAUGCCUCCUGAGCAAGGCUAGCGGUGUGAAUGGAGCCAUUUGUAUCAUUGUGUAUUCAUGUUGCUAGUCAGUGCGCAAUGCUAAAUAAUAAAAUAAUUUGCAAAAAUGGGUCAGCUCAUGGUAGGCCAGUUGAUGAGUGGAGCAUGUGGCGAACCACUGAGACGAAUGGUUUUAACAUGCAGAAACGCCAGCUUAAGGCUGAUUGAAGCCACGUCCUGCCAUGUCCAAACGGUCAUGCACAUCAACCCGCAUAAAUGGGAAAUGGCGCAUGUUUCCUGCUCCUCGGGGAGCCGCAGCAAUUUUCCUGCAGAAAGCACAAAGCCUGCGAGGUCAGGACCGGCUGGAGUCUCUCUGUGACGGGUGAUCAGUUCAGGCUGACAGGUGUGAAGUUGGCAAUUUUCUUUCCCAAAAUGGCCAGAUAAACAGGCUGGCAGCAGUCAGGGGAGAUGGAGAGGGACGUGGAGAUAAGGGGGGAAUGGAAACAGAAAAGAUGGGCAGCUGGAGCAGAUCACUCAGCCAGCUCUGUGACAGACCAGAAGCAAAGAAAAGGAUUAACCCUACACUGACUGGCCCACCCACUACAAGAAACAUCUUUGGGGUGAGAUGGAAAAGGAAUAGAUUUACAGAUCCAGGCAAGGAUAUCUCUGGGAUCUUAAAGGCAUGCACCCAUGAUGUAAAUGUGCAUAUGCUUAAUAGAUAGAUAGAUAGAUAGUGCAUAUGCUUAAUAGAUAGUGCAUAUGUGCAUAUGCUUAAUAGAUAGGGAUAGAUAGAUGAAAGAUAUAGAUAGAUGAUAGAUAGAUAGAUGAUAGAUAGAUAGAUAGAUAGAUGAUAGAUAGAGAUAGAUGAUAGAUAGAUAGAUAGAUAGAUAGAUAGAUAGAUAGAUAGAUAGAUAGAUAGAUAGAUAGAUGAUAGAUAGAUAGAUGAUAGAUAGAUAGAUGAUAGAUAGAUAGAUAGAUAGAUAGAUAGAUAGAUAGAUGCCUCUGGGAAAAUUAAGGUGGACUCUUGCCCCACCUUAGAUAGAUGAUAGAUAGAUAGAUAGAUGAUAGAUAGAGAUAGAUGAUAGAUAGAUAGAUAGAUAGAUACUGUAGAUAGAUGAUAGAUGAUAGAUAGAUAGAUGAUAGAUAGAUAGAUAGAUGGAUAGAUAGAUAGAUGCCUCUGGGAAAAUUAAGGUGGACUCUUGUCCCACCUCCCAUUCCGGCUCAGUCACCCUGUGGGCAAAGCUUUGUUUUUGUUUUUAAAGGGAGGGGAAGAGGCAGGAGGUGUGAGAGGUCUGGCACAUAAGAUCAGGGACUGGGGUCCCCAGGGCAUCCUCUAACUCUGCUCCUGCAUCCCAUCCAAGCAAAGAGAACCCUAAUAUUUUCAUUAUACAUAGGAGGCCAGUUGGAAAUAUGGUCCUGUGUUGAGCAGACUUAGGUCCGGUCCAACAUUUCACAGCUUUCAGUUCUCAUACCUAACACACACCCUCCAAGUGUCACGAUUUUCCAGGGACUGUCCCAGAAUUAAGAAAGCCCUCCUGGCUUCUGAUUUGAUCCUGGAAGGUCCCUGUUUCCCCAGCCAGUCCUGAGUUUGGGAAGGAGAAUGAGCCAAGUCAUAUCCUAAGUGAUGGGGGCAGCAAUAGCGGUGACUCAGUAAUCAAGCAGGAUAAAAGGGAUUAUGUCCUACAUAAAAAUGUUAGCCGUGUGUGUGUGUGUUCAAAGUCUAUGCAUAUGUAUUUUAAGAAAAUAAGUUGUUGUUGUUGUCUGAUUCUGCCUUAAUUCGAAGCAAGAUUUUAAAACUAGUGUGAUUUUAAAACUAGUACCUCUCCCUUGAACACUGGAAGCCAAUUAAAACUAUUUCUUAUAUGAUGAACAAGACUGUGUGUGUAUGCUAUGACUUAGGGGUUAAUGGUAUGAUCUGCAGUAAUUAAAAAGUAGAAAACAAAAUCACACCCCCAAUUUAAUGCAGUGUGUUUCAAUUGAUUUUAGUUCAUGCAUAUGCUUCAUGUGAGCUCUGGCUAAUACUAAAAGGCAGCCGUCCCCCAACCUACUGUAGUUGCCUCCAGAUGUUGUUAGACUACAACUCCCAUCAUUCCUGAUGACUGGCACUGCUGGCUGUGGAUGAUGGGACCUGGUGUCCAACUACAUUUGGAGCGGGUCGGCUUGGCAAGAGCAGGCUCAUUCUAUCACUUCAGGCCUCCAGGUCCUCAUCUAGUGGCAGGCCUGAAUUAGAUUCUGUGUUCGGGGACUCAGCUACAUUAGUUAAAAAAGAGUGUUUUAAAUGUGUUAUAAACAUGCAGCACCAGAUGGUGCUAUAGGGCCCAAAACAUUUCUAUGUGAUUUUACAUAGGGUUGUUGUUUAGUCGUUUAGUCGUGUCCGACUCUUCGUGACCCCAUGGACCAGAGCAUGCCAGGCACUCCUGUCUUCCACUGCCUCCCGCAGUUUGGUCAAACUCAUGCUGGUAACUUCAAGAACACUGUCCAACCAUUUUGUCCUCUGUCGUCCCCUUCUCCUUGUGCCCUCCAUCUUUCCCAGGAUCAGGGUCUUUUCCAGGGAGUCUUCUCUUCUCAUGAGGUGGCCAAAGUAUUGGAGCCUCAGCUUCAGGAUCUGUCCUUCUAGUGAGCACUCAGGGCUGAUUUCCUUAAGAAUGGAUAGGUUUGAUCUUCUUGCAAUCCAUGGGACUCUCAAGAGUCUCCUCCAGCACCAUAAUUCAAAAGCAUCAAUUCUUUGGCGAUCAGCCUUCUUUAUGGUCCAGUUCUCACUUCCAUACAUCACUACUGGGAAAACCAUAGCUUUAACUAUACAGACCUUUGUUGGCAAGGUGAUGUCUCUGCUUUUUAAGAUGCUGUCUAGGUUUGUCUUCGCUUUUCUCCCAAGAAGCAGGCAUUCUUUUACAUAGGGUAAAACGAUUUAAUUCAUAACUUAUUUAUAGCAUCCCCCCCCAUGUGUAGAUCCACCCCACGUAUUCCUGAGAAAGACUAAGGACUGGAUUAUUGUGGGGGUAAAUGUUAUGUACUGAAGUUCUCACCCUGGGCCAGCAGGGGGAUACUGUAGAUAGUUUUCACUCGGGCCCACAUAUGCAAAUAAGGGAUUGAAAGUGACGUUCAGUGAUUGGAUAGUUACAGAAAAUGGUUACUGUUGCGUUCUAGUGGAGCUCUAUAUAAGCAGGCUGGCUGAACCCUUCAGUUCAGUUCUGUUCUGGCCUCUGAAUAAACAAGAGCUGUUUGAAGAAUCGCUGUGUCAUCUGAUAUGUUCACCCACAACUUAACAGUAAACACAAGAAAGAUGGCAGAACCCUAUUGCAUGUUAUUUUUUUAUGUAAAAAUGAAAAAAGAGCUUCUAAGGAACUAAAUUACAUUCACAAGCAGGGGCGGAUCUACGAUGAAACUAAUGACGUUUAAACUUCAGGGACCCUAAUCCCAGAGGGGCCCUAGAAGCAUCUUUGGUCCCCAUUGCUUUUUUUUAAAAAAAAUUGAGUCCAGUAAACCCAAUAUGAGUUGCACUACUCAAAUUGAUUGAUUGAUUUUAUUUUUUCAUAUAUCUUUCAAAGUUUGAGAGUUAGUAGCACACACGUAAUUGUUGUGGUAAACAACCCCACAGAAGAAGAUAACAGUGGUUACCCAGACCUCGUCGCUGCUUGUGAGGAGGCCACCAUGACAUUUCAAGUUUCAGGGCACCCAAAAUGUAGGUCUGCCACUUAUUCCUAGGUGAUUCUGAGGGCCUUUACUAAAAAAAGAAAAGAAAAGAAAGGAAAGGCCACAAACAGACACAUUGCUCCCAGCUCAGACAUUGUCUCUCCUUGCCAGUUGCUGUCUGGCUACUGGCCAAGCUGCAUGCUUGCCCCUGAGGGCAGUGGCAACUGAAAGAAGGAGCUUGAUGGAAGGAAAUAGAACAUGAAUUCAAGCACAAGGUUCUCAGGUUGGGUACCAUACUUAACACAACUGCUAUAUAGUACAGUGGUACCUCGGGUUAAGAACUUAAUUCGUCUUUGAGGUCCUUUUUUAACCUGAAACUGUUCUUAACCUGAGGUACCACUUUAGCUAAUGGGGCCUCCCGCUGCCGCCGCAUGAUUUCUGUUCUCAUCCUGAAGCAAAGUUCUCAACCUGAGGUACUAUUUCUGGGUUAGCGGAGUCUGUAACCUGAAGCAUCUGCAACCUGAAACGUCUGUAGCCUGAGGUACCACUGUAUUUUAACUUUAGGAUAAGAAAAAUCUGUGGAGACAGUGAUCUGGUCUUUAAAAGGAGUCCUUUCUAUAUAAUGUUGGCUUAAAGACAUAGCCUUGAAUAUCUGCUGGGAAGGAAAUGUCCGGAUUUUCCAACUGUUUCAAUGUAUUAUUCAGGGGAAGAGAGACACAGUCGAGAGGCCAUGAUGAAUGCUGAGCAGCCGUUAAAGCAGCCUCUAGCCCAGGGGCCGCCCAUUAUGUUGGAUCACUGGGCCCAUUUGGAAUUUUGAAUAAGGGUUGCAGGUGCCAGUCACAAAAUGGCUGCUCUGUGGGGGAUGUGCCUUAACAUAAAAUGGCUGCCAUAUCUGAAAAAAAGCAGAAGAAGGGGCAAAAUAUGGGGCAGGCGUGGCCCCCAUUAGAUUCCACAUCUCCAGUGGAGGUGAAAAGGCAGCUACAUCAGGACCGCCACUCUCAUUCAAAGAGAAGCUUCUUUUUGCUCCUUUCCUUUGUUCAGAAAGGGAAGGAGGGUGGGCGUCCAAUCCUUGCAGUGGAAUAUGGGCAUGUUUCAGGGAACAUGUACAGUAUACAAGAGGCUGAGUUGAUGCGGACAGGAACUAAGCAGGAAGAGCAAAAGGUAUCUCAUUGUGCUGUGGAUUUCUGAGACGGAUUUUGCUCAGACCUUUCAUGGGUGCCAUAGGAGGUACUGGGAAGCACAGUGGCCCCUUUGGGCACUAUGUUGGUGCCCCCUGCUCUAGCCUGACUGGGAAUGCAGGGCCAGCCCUAACGUUGGAUAGAGUGGAGUAGAUGCCGAGAUGGUGAGGAAAUGGAGAACAAAGCUGUGUGUGCCACAAAGUCUGACUUGCAUGCCUUAGUCUGCUGCUCUCAAGCUAAGUCAAUCCUGAUACCCCCUGCCUGCCUGAUUGAUUGAUUGAUUGAUUGAUUGAUUGAUUGACUGACUGAAUAGUAUUCGUAUACCACCACUUGAUUGUAAAAAUCUCUGACAGGCCCCAAAUAUAUGGGAGACCGUCUCCUUCUACUGAGAAUCUCCUGGGUGUUGUGAUCAGCAGAGGGGUCCCUCUUAGUUGUUCCACCUCCCUCAGAAGUCUGGGGUGGUUGUUACCUGGGAGAUGACCUUCUCUAAGGUAGCCCUUAAAUCCUGGAUUUUCCUACCCACCGGGGCGAGUCUGGCACCUUCACUAUACAACUUUUGGUUCUGUUCAUUUCAAUUCACAAAUCAAUUUCAUUGCAAUGGGCCUACUCUGAAUAGAUUUUAGUUGGCUGCUACCUUAUAGGGUUGCAUCCAAUGAGCAUGCCCAUUGCGGUCAAUGGGCAUGACUAACUUACGAUUCAUUCACUGCAGUGGGUUUACUCAGAGUGAAAUGUGGUUGCAUACAACCUUAUAGCUAUGCCUAAAGCUGAACUGUGCUGUGAGGAGCUCUGGCAAUGCUGUUUCUAAGCUGUGAGGGCAAUUUGAGAAACUCUCCCCCCUCUCCGCCCUGCUCUCUCUGUGGGAAUUUUGGACUCACACCUGUUCCUCGUUUGUUCCACGGAAACCCAAACUGGGAGUGCACCCGCUCCAGGCUCCCUGCAGCUCCAACAGAGCAAGAGAGAGCCCCAUGUUAUGGUUUUAUCCCCUCAUUGCUCAGCUGUGAGAGGGACAGGCCUGGGAAAAGAAAGGCAGAAAUUCCCUCUAGGUUGUUGCUACAGUGCCAUUUGCCACGUUGCAGCCAGGCCCUCCCUCCCUCCCGUUUCCAGUUCAGUGCCCAAUCUGUGUGCCUUUGUUCUCUUUUCUGCGCUUGGCUAGCUGUGUUGAACCAGCUGUUAGGAAUCUAGAUUUAUACAUACUAGGGAUUUGUGGGGCCUCUUCCCCCACCCCCCCAAGCCUCGAGAUCUUUCAUUCGUCUUAUCAAGACUCACUUUCCUCUCAAUUCUUCAGGUGCUUUUCCAGAGCAAGAACCUCAAAAUUCCUUUCGAAAAAAGCCAUGAGAAACAGUAGUUCCAGGGAAAUGGUCUGUUGGACUAUUGCUUCCCUCACCCCUCACCUUUGGCCAUGCUGGUUUGGGCUGAGGACAGCUGGAGUUCAACCACAUCUGGAGGGCUACAGCUUCUCCACUCAUCUCAUACCAACUUUGGCCAAUGCAAAGACUGUUUCUUCACCAGCUCUCGACUCCCAACAGGGUCUCCAGGACAGGUGAGGACUGUGAUGCCCAUAGGACAGCUGGACUAGCAAUCCAUGACAGGAUUAAUCAACAUAAUGACUACAACUCCCAUCAUUUGUGACCAAUGGCUCUGCUGAUUUGGGCUGGUAGUAAUUGAAGUCCAACAACAUCUGGAAGUCACAAUCCCUGGUAUGUGGUAAUGCUUUCCUUCUGAGGGCAUCAAGAAAGGGUGUCUUAUCAUUCAUCCCUUGAGGUGUUCUCUCCUCCUUCCAUUUCUGAGCAUUGAGAAUCCUGGAAACCCUUUCUAGUCUAUUUAAAAAGCUGUUUCCCCAUAUGUGAAGACCACAGCAGGGUUUGAAGUGUAAGAAAACAGGAGAAUAUAUUAAGAAACAUGUUAGGAUGGAAUUAGAUAAGACAGAACCUUAAACCUCAAUUGUCAGUAUUUUGGGUUAUAAACAUCGAUGCUGGGUGAGCGGGAAGUUAAAUUGGAAUUGUUGAAUUUGAAUAUAACUGUUGAGCAACAAAUUAUUUCUAUAUGGAAAAAAGAAUAAAAUAUUGUUAUAAAAAAGAAAAGAAAGAGUGUCUUAUCAAAACUCUUUGGGUUCCCUACAGUUCCUUUGCUGAUCUAACCAAGGAACAGCCUGAAAGUUGGCAGCAACUCUUAGGCGAUUUGAGCAAUGCAUUUCACAAGGACAUAAAAACAGCCUGCUAGACCAGAAGCAUUCUCCCUCAGACAGUGGAGGUAGAACAUAACCACCAUUAUUUACCAAUGCUCAGCUCUCAACAGGGCCCCCAAGAGUCAAGGAAAGGCAAAAAGGUGAUGUCCGCAAUGCAGCUCAGCUAAACAUACACAUCAAUGUUCUCUGUGGGUUCAUUCCCAUAGACAGCAAUGGAUGUGCAGUGCCACUGUUAGAAUUCCACUCGUUUUAGUAACACUUUUUUUUGGCUUCUAGUGAAAUUCUGCUGACGCGUCUUCAAAUUUGUUCUGAAAUUUGCUGCGAGGGGGGAAAACCAAACAAACCCAAACCCAAGGGCAUCUCAAACACAUACACAGCACUGAUCCGCUAAGCGGCAAGGUAGUCUCUGCUGGAGCUCUGAGCUGACAGAUGGUAUUGGAAGCCGAAGCUCCUUGGGCAUAGGCCAAAUGCUGCUCUGAUAAGGAAGGGCAAUGGAAGAGCAAGAUGGCUGCCAGACCAGACCAAAGGAAGUACCAUAACCUUCCCCUUCUAGAGCAGAUCCUACAAGGAGCCUUGAGGCCAAAUCCAUCUAUCCAGACAGUCCCCCUCCACCGCUGCCACUGUCUAUCUAUUUCCCUUUCCCCCAAAGGCAACCUGAAAUGACAGGUCCCCAGCUGGCACUCAGAAGGACACACCAUGGCUUCUUCUGCCAGCCAGGGACCUAGUGACACAUCCCUGUGAUCCAAAGUGACAGCCACAUCCUGGUUGAAGAUCAUAGUGGGGGUGAUUUCUCAUUCUUUGGCCCUUUCCGAGCCAGCUCCAGUGGAAAGGAAAAAGAUGCUCCCCCAGAUCUCAGCUUUCACUCACAGAACCACAUUUCCUAGGGGUUCCUUGGGCAGAGAGCUCAGAAGCUAGACACACAGGAAUCUGAUGAACAUAGAGCAGUUACCUCAAAGGGUGAUGAGCUAGGGGUUUUCCAGAUAUUUUUGGACUACAACUCCCAUCCGCCCUGACCAUUGGCCAUGGUGGCUAAUGGGAGUUGGGAGUCCAACACUAACCGGAGGUCCAUUGGUUCUCCACCCCAGGUUACUGAAAAUGAAAUUUCAAGAUGGCGAUCGGAUUUCCCUGCCUUAAAAGUGAAGUAACUCUGCCAUUUCAAAUGAAGGUGGGAAAUUGUACGACGGAUGACAUUCCUCGAGUCGUGGAAUUUCUGUAAACUUCUAAGAUGCCACUGAGCUUUACCUAAUCAUGAAAUCUGGAUAGUCCUAUUCAGGUAAGGAAAACAUCUGAUGAACUUCAGUGAAGGCAAUCCCACCCCCCCUGGCCCCCAACUUUAAUAAGUUACCAAGAGUUCUGAAGGGCAGUUUGUACAUCCCAGACUAGGGACAAGCAGAGAGAGGACGGAGACUGUGGCCCAUGAACUGCAAGGGCAUAUCAGGUGGCAUUUUAAAAAGAAAAGCUUAGCCCCUCAGAUGGUUAUUAACACAAGCAACUUUGUGGAGAGGUGCCCCCAUGGUUAGAGAUGAGGCAGGCAGUCACAGGUCAGUUUGGGCAGCCCCCAAAUGUGGGCGGCCUAUAGCCUCAACAACAGUAUGGCUACAUCCAUGCACAGAAACGGACAACUGGUGGAUUGGCUUAGCUGUGAAACCAGACUUAUUGCCCCACUUGGGCUUAGACAAACCCAGUAGCAUGAACAGUUUCUAGUCAUGAUAGGUAUACUUUGCUUCCACUUUCAGAGACAGCAUGACUCUGAAUACCAGUUGCUUGGAAUCACACCUGGUGGAGAGCACUGUUGCAUUUAGACUCUACCUGCGAGCUUCUCAUAGGCAUCUGGUUGGCUACUGUGAGUACAAGAUCCCGGUUUGGACAUCCCUUUGGUCUGAUCUAGCAGGGCAUUGAAAUGCUCUCUCUUUUUGUGUGUAUAUUUGGGCACAUGAGCAGGCCAUGCCCCAGUGGAGAAGGGAGGAAAGGGUCAAGAGGCUCGUAGGCAGUCAAUGUCUAUGCUAGUGCCAUGCAGACACAGAAGGGGUUGGUUGGAGGUAGGCUUCUUUCAAGGUGAUGGGGAUGUCUUGGGAGGGCAUGUGGGGAACGAGCUUGGGAACCUAGGAAGCUGCCUUACUCCCAAGUCACACUACUGGUGCUCCUAGCUCAGUAUCAUUUACACAGACCAGCUCUUCAGGGUUAUCUGAAGCGGGACAAUCCCAGCCCUUAGUGGAGAGUGAGCUUAGGAGUUUCUGUCUGCAGAGCAGAUACUCUAACCCUGAGCUACAGCCCUUAAGAUAAAGGAAGCUUCUUUCUAACGAAUCACACCACUGGUCCACCCAGUUCUAUUGUCUACACUAAUGGGCAGUGGCUCUCCAGGUUUCAGACAGGGAUCUCUCUCAGACCUACCAGGAGAUGCCAGAGACUGAACCUGGGACCCUCUGCAAGGAAAGGUGAUGCUCUGCCACUUAGCUAUGGAGAAAUGCUGUAAGAGGAAGAAGAGGCUUAGGACAGGGGUCAGCAAACUGUUUCAGCAGGGGGCCGGUCCACUGUCCCUCAGACCUUGUGGGGGGCCGGACUGUGUUUUGAAAAAAAAAUAAAUGAACAAAUUCCUAUGCCCCACAAAUAACCCAGAGAUGCAUUUUAAAUAAAAGGACACAUUCUACUCAUGUAAAAAUAUGCUGAUUCCCGGACUGUCCGUGGGCCGGAUUUAGAAGGCGAUUGGGCUGGAUCCAGCCCCCGGGCCUUAGUUUGCCUACCCAUGGCUUAGGAGGAACCCCUUGCACUUUUCCCCUGAAGAAAAGGGAGAAUUAGAGGACAAGGAGAAGGGAAGGGAAGGGAAGGAAGUGUUUGCCUGCCAAGCAGCUUCCUUCCAAAAUGGCUUCUAUGCACCAUAAUCCAGCUACUACAAGCAGACCGACAGCAGGUUAACAGAAGCCGCAGGGAGCCUGAGAGUAGCUGAUGUUGCUGCCAGUUCCCCCUCCAUCCAACAUAUAUUUGCUGGUGGUCCAGAGGAGGCAAAGAACCAGACCCGCUGCAAGCUUCCAAAGAAGAAACAGAUCCAGGCGCUCCAGCUUCCUUGUUUUAAAAUUCUUUAUUUAUAAAAAAGUACAUUUCUUUCCACAGUUGAACCACUAGUUCUCUCUUUUUUAAAAAUUUUAUACAAGUAAAAGAGGGCAAAGCCAUUAUUGCUUCCCCCAAAAUGAAAAAUCCCCCAGUUCAGCCCAAACAAAAAAAGGAACGACGACAAAAGUUAUUAUUACAAAGAAUGGGGAAACAAAAUAAAAAGAAAUAAAAGAAAAGAAACAAAAAAUAAUAAUCAUAAAAGCAAUUUCAGUCCAUUACAUUAUUCAUAAUAUUCUUCUCUCUCUCUCUCUCUUUUUACAAAAGCACUUACAACACAGAUUACCAAAAAAGUAGAUUUUUUUUUCUCGAAUGCUGUUUUUAUUUAUUUAUCUUAUGUCACAAUGAUCAUUACAGCAGCAGGUGGGAUGGGAGGAGAGGGGAGGAAAAGGGUGUGGAUACAGUCACGAGUGGAUGAAAACACUUUGGAGAUUUUCUUUUUCUUUUUAAAUGGAAAAUAAAAUAAUCAUCCAAGUUUUCAUCUGGUGUGCAAUUAAUCCCCAUGGUUAUCUAUUUACACCGGUUUGAGUAUCUUACCCUAGAGAGCCAUUACAUAUACAUUCGCUUUCAAGAGAAGAAGGACCCACGGAAUGUUCUAGCAAAACAGAAUACCCCCACCCUCCCCAUUUAGCACCACGUUAACACAAAAAAAUCACACCCUUGUACUUUUGGUUAAUCGUUCCAGAGUCAGGAACGCCCUCGGGUUCCAGUAGUGACACGGACGACCAGGGUUUAAACCGGGGCCUGGUUUAUGGAACUACAUUGGGAUCAGGCUGUGCAACAUGGUUCCCUGUGACUGCCAAGUGGUAUGAGGCUUCAGGAUUGGCUAGCCCGAGUUUGAAUAAAUACCAGGAUCCUAGCCCUUUGUCUUUGUAAGGUCAACCAGUGAUAUGUUCGCCUGUUCUCCACUUCAGGUAAAGACACUGAUCUCAGGGAUCACCUGAGCUGGAAAGGUUUUGUAUUUGGAUAGAGUGGCUCGCCCCACCACCCAAAAGGCUGGUCACUCUGAGUGUGGCCACCAUAGGUGCCAACUCUCUGGGAUCCUGGGUGCCCAAGCACCCACAAAAUUCCCCAUGAAGGAACCCAGCACCCACAAAUUUCGGUGCCAGGGUCAUGCACAUGGCACCCCCGGGCCUGGGCUCCCACAGUCGCUGGGCCAAGCUGGCCACUAUAGUUGUAGUCAACUUGGAUUUAGGCCAGGAUUCCACCUUAAACAGUCAUGGCGCCUGGAAGCUGUAGUUUAUUAUGGGCUCUGUGAGUUGUUAGGGGAUUCUGAUACCUGCUGCAAUUCCCCGAACUCCCCACGAAGAGGGAUUGAUUGUUAAACCACUCUGGGACUGUAGCUCUGGAAGGGGAAUAGGAGUCUCACAACAACUCUCCGCACCCUUAAAAAACCACAGCUCCCAGAAUUUGGGUGGGGGCAGCCAUGGCUGUUUUGUAGUGCUUCAAAUGUAUGACAUGAAUGUGGCUGUAGAUUCCCAACUAUUUCCCUGACAGAAUUCUCAGGGAGCCUAAGCAUACCUCAACUGCCCACUCACAUGUUCUGGCAUCCAAUAUUUUGUCUUCAUUUUAAGGAUCUGAAAAACCCCUUUGGCCAAAUCUCCUGGCGAUUCUACCCAAAUAAUGAGCGGCUUUCCGGCAUCACCACCCCCUUAAAAAUCUAAAUGGCUUCCCCAGUAUGCGUCUUGUUUUGCAAUCAAGACCACCCCAACGUUGGUGCCUCCCCCUUACAGGAAACCUUCCCUUUCUCUCUCUCUCUCUUAAAUGAGCUGAAUAAAAAUUAUUCAAAGGGAGGCGAGGAAAGAAAAUCGGUCCCAUAAUUAAAUAAGGGAAAUCAAAUCGCUACGGUAAAUUGAGAUGGGUAAUCCCAGACAUAAAUCCCAUCAGAAAAACACCUGCCAUGUUCUAUUUCAAACGGAUUUAAUUUGGCCGAUAACACAGUUUUCUUCCCCCCACCUUUUUUGCUGGGUGUCCAGGAAUGGGGGUGACAGAGAUAAGUUUGUGCCCAGAAGCACUAUUCUCCUACCACCCCACUGCACAUCUUUGGGAUCAACCUCACAUUAAUCAAAAUGGGCAAGGGAUCAAGAAAAAAUGGGGAGUGGUUCUAACAACAGACUAUUAGCCAUAAAAGUUAAAUGGAACCUCCAGGUCAGGGGCAGUCUACCCCUGAGAACCAGAUGUUGCAGACAACAGGAUAGGGGCUGCUGCUUUUGUGCCAUGGCUGUGCAAUUUCAGGCAGCAGAUGGCUGCCUGGUGUUGGGAACAGGAUGUUGGGUCUCUAGCAGUCUCUGCCAACUUGGUGCUUUCCAGAUGUUGCUGAACCACAACUCCCAUCAGCCCCAGCAAGUAUGGCCAAUGGAUAGUCACUGAUGGGAGUUUUAGUCCAGCAACAUCUGGAGGACCAAAGGAUUGCCUGCAACCGCUUUACUGUGUCAUCUCCAAGUCUCUGGACCAAACAGCAACCAAUGUGUCUUCCUUCUGUAACGCGGCUUGUGCCAAAGUUGCUAUGCACCCCAAUCGCAUACAAAAUGGCCACCUCAACACCUACAGUCUGACUCAGUGGCUGGAGAGCCUGAUACAAGAUGUAACACUCUAAGAAGUACAACAAGAAUGAGGAACUCCCAGUCUGCACCUUAAGGGGCUUCUCUAUCAGGCCUGUGGGACCUCUUCAUCACGCCAGCAGUUUCAGUACAAGCUGGUCUUCAAACUAGCAGCAAAGUGGAUUGAGAAGAGAGGUGGAGACAAUAAAUGGGAAAACUGGGGGGGGGGCUCAGAAUGUGCUCGGAGAUCCUUAUUAACAAGGACUGAAUGUGGCCCAAAUGUUGGGCCAUGCACAGCCAAUACACUAGGUGUGGGGGUGAAGAUAUGCUGAUACCUAGAAGAAGAAAACUAUAGCUGAACUUAUGGUUUGGUUUUUUGUUUUACAUUUCCCCAAACUGCCCCAGUCCUUCUCCUUUUGUUGCUGCCACUUAUUUUGCAGUGGAUGCAACACUGUUUUACUCUCAUAAGUUGGUUAAGAGUGAAUAGUGAAGACAGGAAGCAUUGUCCUCAUUCUGAACUGGCUUCAGAACUAUGCUAUAUCACUAUGGGCAUCAACCAGAAGCCAGAUUGUGGGCAAUCCUUCUUGCCCUCACUCUAAAGGGGCUUCUGGGAGAGAAAACAUGAUGGUUGUCAUGUUAAAGUUCAUUUCCCCCCUUUUAUGCCCUAACUCUGCCUUUUCCUUCCUUCCUUCCUUCCUUCCUUCCUUCCUUCCUUCCUUCCUUCCUUCCUUCCUUCCUCUUUAUGCCUCUGGUGGCUCACCAGAAAAAGCAGUGGAACCCAAAACUGCCUACGGUUCUAGUAAGAAUUUUUUUCAACUGGAACUUAGUUCUGGCACCUCUCAGAUGGGUGCCAUUGCUAUUAUAAGAGAACAAAUGAGGCAUUCGUGGUGAGUUCUGGCACCUCUUUUUCAAGAAAAAUAAUACUGGUUCUAGUCUUGGUGAUUCCUGGCAAGGCCUCUAUGAGCUGCGCUCUUCAGGACUUGGUGUAAUGGAUGUGAAUCAAGAGUUAACCGGGCAUCCCCUUAUGCAUUAACCAGGUUAGCUUUCGAAUCAACCCAUCCUCCCGCUUAUUUUAAUUUUUAAAUUUACAUUGCAACCAAAUUUUGGGGGGAAAGAAAAGAAAUUUUUAUAGGUUUGCAGUCUGUGUUCUGUUCAAGCAACACAUGCUCAGAAAUGAUAAAAGUAGCCUAAAGCAGUUUCAGAAGAUUUCUGAAUACUUCUCAGAUGGACUUUCCACCUUUCUGAGGUGCUAAUAAACCUUUGCCUAAAACAAAAUUCAAGGAAAGCGAGGAAAACUGAGCCCAUGCUCAAUAGCUGCUUGCAUUUCAAGAGACACAAACUUUCCUAGGAUUACUGGUGGUUCCUGGUUCUUGGUGGGGUGUUGGUGGAGAAAAGCAGAAAUCUUGUAUCUCGACAAAACCACCUGAUGCUUCUAUACAUCUAUGGGUCUAUACUGCAGUUGUUCCCAACUAUGAGUCCCCAAAGGUCACUGGGUGACCCACUGUCAUCUCCAGAAAGCAUAGCCACUGGCCAGGGAUGAUGGCAACAUGAAUCUCCAGAUACCUACAGCUGCAGCAAUGGAUGCUCCUAGUGUUAUCAGAGGCCUGGCACUGACAAAAGCCUUGAUCCAUAAUUUUUUGUUCUGUUUUUUUUGCUUUUACAGGCAUCUUAUUUCACGCUAUGGAUUAACUGUGAAUCAUUUAGCCUUGCUAAUUAGGGUCCCGCGGGGGUCUUGCAUCCAAUUCAGGGCCGCUUAAUACAUGCUGAAUUUCCUACACAGAUUAUCGAUGCUGCGCAAACAGCGACGCGGCACCCGCGCAUUCUCCUGCAUGCCAAAUUAACACCCGCCUCUUUUGCCUCGCAAGCGUGGCCUGGAAGCUCCAGUUGGGUGCUGUCGUACGUCUAUAUGGAAGCGGUAUCUGCCGCAAACCUGGAGUCCUGCUCGCUUCAGCAGGCACGGUACGAAGGCUGGUGGUUGCUUUGCCUUCCCAUUCCAUGGCAGAUUAAGAAGAACAAGUGCAUAGAUGUACAUACAGGAAAUCUGUCUUGGGCGUUGGACUUCAAAUUGACUCAUUACAUGGGCAAUUGGAGAGAGGCUUUUCAAAUGGAGGAUAGGUUUGUCUGUGAUAUUGGCCAUCAUAUGCCUACAGAUCAGAUGUGUCCAGGAUCAAAACAGCAUAUAUAAAGUCCCACCUGCAUUAUGCAUUUAAAGCAUUAUCAUACCACAACUGUGGCACAUAAUUUAAGGGUGCUGAGCAUUGUUAAGAGACCUCUAUUCCCUCCACAGAGUUGCACUUCUCAGAGGGGUUUAACACAAUCCCUCUUCCAGGAGAAUUAUGGGAAUUGUAGUUCUGCGAGGAGAACAGGGGCUGCCUGACAAGUCCCAGGAUUCUUAACGAACUUUACUUCCCAGGAUUCUUUGUUCGGGGUAGGCCAUGGCUGUUUAAAGUGGUAUGGUAUUGCUUUAAACAUAUAGUGCAGCUUAGCCAGCAUAACUUCCUCCCAAAGAAUCCUGGGCACUGUAGUUUUGACUGUGUUGAACAUGCUCUACCGUUUCCAGGGCUCUCUGGGGAGAGCGUAUGACUGCUGAAGCCUGCAGAGUAGAUCCCUCCAAGAGGAAUGCAGCAGAUGCUGCCUCUGUUUUUGCUAGAGCCUUUGACAAACUGCUCUGUGCCCUGUGGCUAUUGAAGACACAGAUGCAGUAUUUAGAUCAGGACUUGCUUUUUGUUUGUUUGAAACCUUUCUCGUUUUCUCUUACAAGGAGCCAACAGCUUACGUACAGAUCUCUCUGUGCAUUCCACAUGGCCAUGGUCUUGAAGCCAUCUGGAGGGAUAUUUGGGAUCUUGGAUGUAUCAGAUUUCACUACAAGAAAACACUGUGGACACUGAAUAUGCACAGGUUGGGGUGCCUAAGCCCAAGAUCCACCUCUGAUCUAUGCAUAUCCAGUAUCCAUGGACACGGGACAUCUGAGAGGGGCUCAAGUUUCCAGAUCUCAUUACUGCCUGUAAAAACACCUCUGUGUUUUUCCUCUGUUCCUCACCCCUUUCUUGAAAAAAGCAAAUGACGCCCCCUCCCACCAUCCAAAUUAUUUGAAAACUCAACUCUCAACAUAGGAGGAAAUGAUGCACAUCUAGUCAUAUCAAUGCAAACAAAUGUGUCGUUUAUUCAGGUUGCAGAAUUUCGGCCUCCCGGAUGCAGAAAAUUUUGGAAUCCAUUUCCCCUGCGGUAUACAUGUCCUGCUCCUGCCUUCCCUCAAGACAUGCAACAGAUGGAGGGGGUAUUUCGUCCUACCCUGAAAGAUGUCACAUGGCAGAAGUCCCCUGUGGUCAGACCGAGAGAAGCCUCCAGCGAUUAACGAGCCGUGGGAAUGAAAGCUAUGCACACAGUGAGCAGCCACUGAAAAUGUUAACCUCCUCCUUGUGGCAAUGGCUGCUGCCUGCCAAGUCCCCAAUAUUUAAAGAAACGCUAUCAGCACGCCCACUUCCAUUCCCUGCAAGCAAUGAUGGGUAUGAAUGCAUGGUCAAGCAAACACUGAUCCUGUGGAGGAGGCAACAACUUGCCUGAUCCAGCCCUUGGAGAUUUCUUCCUCCUUCAUAGAGCAACACUUGAGAAUGUGGGACGUUGCCCUUUGACUAAGCCAGGCCUCAGGAAGCUGCCUUAUAUGGAGUCCCUCUAAGGUAAAAGCGGUAAAUGACCCCAUGACGGUUAAGUCCAGUCAAAGGCGACUAUGGGGUUGUGGCGCUCAUCUCGCUUUCAGGCCGAGGGAGCCGCCGUUUGUCCACAGGCAGCUUUCCAGGUCAUGUGGCCAGCAUGACUAAACUGCUUCUGGCGCAACAGGACACCGUGACAGAAGCCAGAGUGCACGGAAACGCCGUUUACUUUCCUGCCGCAGCGGUACCUUUUUAUCUACUUGCACUGGUGUGCUUUCAAACUGCUAGGUUGGCAGGAGCUGGGACAGAGCAAUGGGAGCUCACUCAUCGCAGGGGUUCGAACUGCCAACCUUCUGAUUGGCAAGUCCAAGAGGCACAGUGGUUUAGACCACAGUGCCACCCGCAUCCCCUGUGGAGUCCAUUUUCCUCAGUACUGUCUCCGCUAACUGGCAGAGGGUCUAUGGGAUUUCAGGCAGGGUUCUCUUCCAGCCCUACCUGGAGAUGCCAUUGGGGGUCGAACCUGGGACCGCCUGCAUGCAAGCCCACCUUUGAGCACCGAGCUAUGGCCUGUCCCCUGCAGCCUUCAAGUAACACUGAGCAUGUGGGAAGGGAAUCACUCUGCGCAGCCAACCAGGAGCAAGAGGUUGGCAGGAGUUAGCAGAGAGAGCCACGGGAGCCGAAUGGCCCAUUGGCAACCUCUAUGUUGGGCCCAAUUUGACUCUGUGGUGCCCCUUCCUUGUUUAUCUAUGUGUGGGGGCGGGGGGGGGAGAAAGCAAAUUUUGAUAACACACAUAGUUUUCUGAACACAUACCAAAAGCCUCAUGAGGCAUGCCCAUUGUGGGAAACUUAGGGAGAUAGGAAGCUUGCCUUAUACUGAGGCAGACCACUGUUUGUCCAUCUAGCUUAGUACUGUCCGCACUGAUUGGCAGCAGCUCUCUGGGAUUUCAGGCAGCCCUAUGUGGGAGGUGUUAUCGGGAUCUGAACUCCGGACCUUCUGCAUGCAAAGCAGUGCUCUGCCAUUGAGCUAUGGCCCUCGGACGCUCCACCCCUCCGACUGAAAAUAACAAUAAUCGUUAAAAAGCAAAGCGCGAACACAGGAGGAAAAUUGCUACACUUGCCCUCCUGGAUAUCAUGCAGUUUCCUGUUGUACUUUCACGGUUGUUCUUUUGAUGAUCAAGUCAUUUGUUAUGUUUCCUAAAAAAACACACACACACAAGGCUGGUGGAUUUCGCUUCCCCACCACAAGUGCAUUGUGG